UCUAAAUGUUGUUGGAGAUGGAGAAGUUAUUCUCAAAUUUAUCCAAGUAUGUGGGAAAUAAUAGCUGCUGGUAUACAAGUGUACAGUACUUGAUAAAGGAAGAAGAUGAAUUUAAAACUAAAGGCUAUGUUUUCAACAUUUUGGGAGGAAAUUGCCUGUUUGGAGGGAAAAAGUAUGUCGCAUCCACCUCUUAUACGGUAAAGCAAAUAUUACAGACUGGCCACCCUUGUACCGUAACUGGGCCACAAAUAUAUACUGUUUGUUGCCUGGUAUUCUAAAAAUCAGAGAAAUUUUAGACAAAAUACAAAUGUUUCAGAAAACUGUGAAGAAAAAGUAAAUCAGAAAAUAUAGCAAUACUGGACGCUCAUCCCCAGAUGGCCACAGUUGGCGUGAAUAGAGGAGUGGUGGCCCCCUGGUGCUCUGCAGUUUGGCACAAUUCUUCCUACCUCCUGUUCUAUGCCAGCUUGUCUCAUGCAUUUAUAUGAAUGGCUCCAGUCCUGUAGGCAUUUGAAAUUAAAACCUCCAGAUGGAUCAAGAGUUAGAUAUAAAAGAUAAAAUCAUGAAAUAAAUGAGAAGAAAACACCGGUGAAUGUUGAACUGGUUCUUAUGAAUUGGCCUGAGCCAAUCUUAUUUGGGGCAACUCUUGAGCUGUUUUGUUAAUUAAUAGUAGUCUCCAAGAGCCGGAAGUGGGUGAGGAUUAACGACUUCCCCACAACCCCUAUCAGGUUAUAAAGAAAGCCAUUUUCAGAACAAAUUCCUCUGCACGUGCAACCAUUUAUCAAAUUAUUAGUAGUAGGCAAAACACUUCACCAGAGAUCAAAUCUUGGUGCCACCCCUGGGCAAAUAGGACUCAGGGGUCCCUCGAUUCUGGGGUACUGUUCGAGCAAGAGCAGAAGGCAUCUCUGAAAAUUUUACCCCAUGUCAUUUAGUUCCACCAACAAGAAUCCAUCUCACCAACACGAAGCCUUUUCUACCAUUUAUUUAUUGACUAGCAGAACAUCUGGUGGUGAGCAGAGAGGGACUAGCCGAAGCGCUCCUCUGUCCUCUUUGGAGUGUGGCCCUUCAGGCUGGAAGCUGCUCACCGUUUGCGGGGGGGAGGGUCCUGGUUACAGCAGGGACCACACGGAGCACGGGGCCUACCCCGAGGAGCACCCACUGACAGCCCACUGCCCACGCCAACAUCUUUUAAUGUGAAUGACUGACAUAGUACUGUCCUUUGUAGACAUGCACCUCCCAACCAUGAAAGAAAUGGAAAGCACUGCAGAGGAGAGGACAAUAUUGGGGACCACCAGGACGGAAAGCUUCUGUACAGCCAAAAUAUUGUAAGUGGGAGCUGAAAAACUUUUGGAAAUACAAGUAUCAACUAUUUCCUACGUGAAAUGGACAUUAUGUUCAUUAUACACACACAGGUGCAUAUGUGUGCCCAUUCACAGAUUACACACAUACGUGUUUCUCUUCUCUUCUUUGUCUUUGUGGGCUACCUCAUGACGCGAGAGUGAUCCCACGGUCCUCCCGAGGGGUGCAGGUGCACGUGCUUACUCCGCAGGCAGCAGAUCUUGCCCUCUGCAUGCUCAUCUCCGGGCUGCUGCUGCUGCUGCUGCUGCUGCCGCCGCCGCUGAUGAUUCGAGUGCUUCUCCACUGGCCACGGACCGUCUACCCAUCACCACUGAAGAAACCCCAUCCUCACCUCAGCCAGAGAAAACUCUCAUGCAGCCCAAUUCCCCGCCACUCCCUCCGGAGGUGCCUGCCUUGACCUGGGAGGACGCUCAACUGCUGUCCUGGGUACUGAAGCUCAAGAACGUGGCUUAUCUUUCCUCAUGGUUGUUGCUGGCUGCACCUCCCACAACAAACCGAAUUCCCAGCAGCCACCAUUUCCUGUUCCUCAGCUGCAUCUAUCUACGAGGAGGAUUCCAGACUGAUCUUACAGACACCGUCCUCCCAUCUGGUCUACUUUUCUCUUAGACGCUGGACCUAUUCGCAGGCCGGGGCUAAGAUCAGAUCAUGCCUGGAAUAUGGUUAUUAAGGUCAAAUGACUGUCAUGACUCAUUUUCAAAUUCUCAUACUUUCAUUUUUUGCUUUUUAUUGCCACAAAUCAAAAGCACUUUUUGAGUCCCUGAUGGGAAGAGAAGAAAACAGAUGAAAGCAAGGACUGUGAUGUGGAGGUGUGCCUUUCCCUCUUGUCACCACCUGGCAGGAGUGAAUAGGCCAAUGCAGGUGUAACCAGGGCUGAGGUUUCUGAGCUAGUCUUUGAGGAAGGCAUUCCCUUGCUUUGUAUUAGACUUCUUAAAAAUGUCUCUUUAAUCAUCCAGGUCUAAGGCAAAAACCUCCCUGUGAAUCGAUAGAAAAAAGAUAUAUAUAGGUCUCUGGCCCUGGUUCCUGUACAAUGCUCCUAAAAUCCCUAUAAUUCCCGAGGUGACAAGAACACUAGGAACGUCUUUUGUUCUAAUAUUUGAUGUUUAAACCCCUGUGUCUGACAGACUUCCUAAAUCCCUUGAAAUUUCCUUGGUGACAGUGGUGUUUUUUAUUCUAAUGGGGUGACUCUCUAUGGGCUCCAGGAUGGGGAAUGGUCACCAGAAAGAUCAAGACAUGAGGAGAAGCUUGGAGCUUUUGGCCCAGUCCCCUAUCCUUCAGGAAGGGAGGAAGGAGCUGGAAAUUGAGUAAAUUAUGAUCUCGCCUACAUGAUGGAGCCUUCUUAAGAAUCCCAAAACUAUCAGGUUCGGGGAGCUUCCAGGUCCCUGAACACAUAGAAGUGUUGGGAAGGUGGUAUGCCCCGAGAGGCCAUGGACUCUCUGUGCCCCCUCCCACAUGACUUUCCCUAUGCAUCUCUUCCCUCUGGGUGCUCAUUCUUUAUCAUAUCCUUUUAUAACAAACUGGUCAACAGUAAGUAGACUGUUUUCCUGAGUUCUGUGAGCUGUUCUAGCAAAUUAAUUGAACCUGAGGAGGGUAUAAUGGUGUAGGAGUGCUGACAAUGACUGACUCCAUCUUUGGCUCUCCACCUUGUUCAUGUUUGCUCAGUGACAUCCCUUGGGGCUAUUUGUUCCGGGCCCCUGGAGAUUAAUAUACAUACUUCAGAAAUGCCCACCAAGGCCAGGAUGGGGGUGGAGGGAGACUUGUCUUGGCCUCCCAGGAGUCUGUUAGGGAUAACAUGGUCUUGCCCUUCCUGACUCACAGGUGGUGCUGCAAGAUCUAACUGAAGAGUAGCUGUUGGUCAGAUGCAUGCACCCCCCUUAGGUGUGUGCAAACCCUUUGAUCUCACUACAACAUCCUUCUGCGUGGCCCCUCACUCUAUAACAUCUGUGGACUACGUCCCGACUUUUGCAGGGAAAAACUGUGCAGCCGCCACGCAUCAUUCUCUCCCCACUCCUCGCUGUCAGUAAGCAAGUCACCUUGUAGGGAGUGGCCUGCUUCGUUUCUGGUCUCAAAGUGCCUUUUCAGUCUGGGGGAUACUUGACUGUUUCCCCUCCACCUUCUAACACAUGGGAACCUCCGGGUCAUAGCUGAUUGGCCUGAAGUACAUCUUGAGACACAGCCCUAGCCUGAAGGAUCUAAUGCUUUCUCCAGACGGGGACCCCCCAGUACAAUGCUGAAGAGAGGUGGUAAUAGCAGUCUUUAGCUGAAAAGUCAUCUACAUAUAAUAAGGAAGAGGUUUUGAAAACUCCCUGAGGAUCACAUAAAGCACCACCAUGAAGGAGGAGAAGAAUAAUUCCUAGAAAUCACGCAGGUUUGGAAAUUGUUCAUGUUCCUACCUGAAAAUGUGUGAAGAUCAUAUAAUACAAGGCUCAUCUGAUAGAAUUCUCAAGAGUAUUA
Molecule: long non-coding RNA, 3807 nt
Organism: Canis lupus familiaris (dog)
Lineage: Eukaryota; Metazoa; Chordata; Mammalia; Carnivora; Canidae
Exons: 5
Source: RefSeq, a predicted model, not a curated record